Long non-coding RNA from Drosophila miranda, 1360 nucleotides. RefSeq lists it as uncharacterized. NCBI's taxonomy places the organism in Eukaryota, Metazoa, Arthropoda, Insecta, Diptera, Drosophilidae. The transcript has 2 exons. The record is from RefSeq and is a predicted model, not a curated record.
UGCUGAAACGAAAGCCAAUCCAAUCCAUUCAUAAAUUAUUCAAAUUCUACGUGUGAGUAACCGAGAGAAAGAGGCGCCGUGGGUGUCUGACAGACACGUAGUACACGUAAGCACGGAUCUCGGUUCCCGCAUAGCAGGCAGGUUGAUUCAAGGCAGUUCUCGAGAAUUUCAAACAUUUCUGAAUCUGUUUACUCGGGCAACCGCCUACGCCUACCCGCCUACACCCAUAGCAUGCCCGCACCGAAAUGGUCGCACUCGGCAUUCCUCCAAAGUGAGAACUUUUCGCGCAUUAAUGGAGGCUUAAGUCAUCUCAUCUAAAGUGGGCAUCACUUGAGCACACACAAAGCAUGUGGGGUGGGGUAGAUCAAAGAAUCACAGCAGUUAAGUGACAGAUAAUACGAAUCUGAAAUCCCAUUACAAAUGCCACAAAAUUUGCCAUUUUUGCAAUAUUCUUAGGCUUCAGAGAGAACAAGGGAACUUUUCCCAAUGCUCUCUCUAAAACAGUGAUAGGCACGCACAUAUUCACAUGUCUUGCAGUUGUUUGUGUGCGUAGACAGAAGGCAAAGCGGAAUAUUGUAUUGGGGCCAACAACUGUUAUACACGUGUACGUGAGGGGCAGCGCAGCAGCAGCGCACUUUCCUAUGCACAUAAGAUAGGGCCUUGCCGAUCGCUGCUCUAAAAGAGCCUAAUUUAAAAGUGUAUUCGUGCUUAAAAUAGGUUGCAUUUCAGCCAAAUUAUGACUUAUGACAGUAUCUACCUGCUACAAAAAGGUAAUACCAUUGGCCAGGGUAUCAACAAAACGGCAUUGGAUUCGAUUGCCGAAAUGCCACACAAAAGCACACGCAUACAUUCACACAUUCAAAGGCCAAAAAGUCACAGAAAUUCAAUGUCAAACUGGUUUUCACUUUCAGCGUGUCCUUUACACUCCUUUUACGUAUGACUGGGACAGAAAACGAGGCAUAUACAUAUGCACAUAAACGAUAACCUUGAGAAGAGAGAUUCACUUAAUGAGAGAUACAGAUACAGUGGGAGAGCGAAUGAGCGUGAUGCAAAAAAAUUCGUCAAUCACACACAAGAAUGAUGACCGGCGAUGAUGUCAUAUACUAGUCCCAGAGGCUGCACUGCACCACUCGACAGACAGCCCUGACAACCACUGCACUGGGGACGGGGACCUGCCUUCUGCCUGUCACAUAAGCAAUCCAAUCAAAACGAAGCUAAAUAAAUCACGUUAUCACGGGGAUCCAGCACUGAGGAAUCGCUCGCCAUAUGGUCAAGAGUAGAGAGCUAAUAGAGACACAAAAAAAUCACUCGCAUAAGCAAAAAUAUCAUGCAUAAAAUAUCAUACAAUAAUAUACAUAAA